RNAcentral lists this ribosomal RNA (497 nucleotides) under uncultured bacterium. RNAcentral's name for it is "partial 16S ribosomal RNA". It matches the Rfam family "Bacterial small subunit ribosomal RNA", at positions 28 to 507 of the family's 1533-position model. The record is from RNAcentral.
GAUGAACGCUGGCGGCGUGCCUAAUACAUGCAAGUCGAGCGAACGGACGAGAAGCUUGCUUCUCUGAUGUUAGCGGCGGACGGGUGAGUAACACGUGUAUAACCUACCUAUCAGACUGGGAUAACUUCGGGAAACCGGAGCUAAUACCGGAUAAUAUUUUGCACCGCAUGGUUCAAAAGUGAAAGACGGUCUUGCUGUCACUUAUAGAUGGAUCCGCGCUGCAUUAGCUAGUUGGUAAGGUAACGGCUUACCAAGGCAACGAUGCAUAACCGACCUGAGAGGGUGAUCGGCCACACUGGAACUGAGACACGGUCCAGACUCCUACGGGAGGCAGCAGUAGGGAAUCUUCCGCAAUGGGCGAAAGCCUGACGGAGCAACGCCGCGUGAGUGAUGAAGGUCUUCGGAUCGUAAAACUCUGUUAUUAGGGAAGAACAUAUGUGUAAGUAACUGUGCACAUCUUGACGGUACCUAAUCAGAAAGCCACGGCUAACUACGUG